AGUCGACGGCAGCACGGGGGCAACCCUGGUGGCGAGUGGCGAACGGGUGAGUAAUACAUCGGAACGUGCCCUGUCGUGGGGGAUAACUAGUCGAAAGAUUAGCUAAUACCGCAUACGACCUGAGGGUGAAAGCGGGGGACCGUAAGGCCUCUCGCGACAGGAGCGGCCGAUGUCUGAUUAGCUAGUUGGUGGGGUAAAAGCCUACCAAGGCGACAAUCAGUAGCUGGUCUGAGAGGACGAUCAGCCACACUGGGACUGAGACACGGCCCAGACUCCUACGGGAGGCAGCAGUGGGGAAUUUUGGACAAUGGGGGCAACCCUGAUCCACCAAUGCCGCGUGUGUGAAAAAAGCCUUCGGGUUGUAAAGCACUUUUGUCCGGAAAGAAAUGGCUCUGGUUAAUACCCGGGGUC
This 411-nucleotide ribosomal RNA is filed under the name Cupriavidus sp. UFLA01-659. RNAcentral describes it as "bacterial SSU rRNA". It matches the Rfam family "Bacterial small subunit ribosomal RNA", at positions 60 to 474 of the family's 1533-position model. The record is from RNAcentral. Lineage: Bacteria; Pseudomonadati; Pseudomonadota; Betaproteobacteria; Burkholderiales; Burkholderiaceae.